RNAcentral lists this ribosomal RNA (2933 nucleotides) under Escherichia coli. Its description in RNAcentral is "23S ribosomal RNA". It matches the Rfam family "Bacterial large subunit ribosomal RNA". Lineage: Bacteria; Pseudomonadati; Pseudomonadota; Gammaproteobacteria; Enterobacterales; Enterobacteriaceae. The record is from RNAcentral.
GGGUUGUGAGGUUAAGCGACUAAGCGUACACGGUGGAUGCCCUGGCAGUCAGAGGCGAUGAAGGACGUGCUAAUCUGCGAUAAGCGUCGGUAAGGUGAUAUGAACCGUUAUAACCGGCGAUUUCCGAAUGGGGAAACCCAGUGUGAUUCGUCACACUAUCAUUAACUGAAUCCAUAGGUUAAUGAGGCGAACCGGGGGAACUGAAACAUCUAAGUACCCCGAGGAAAAGAAAUCAACCGAGAUUCCCCCAGUAGCGGCGAGCGAACGGGGAGCAGCCCAGAGCCUGAAUCAGUGUGUGUGUUAGUGGAAGCGUCUGGAAAGGCGUGCGAUACAGGGUGACAGCCCCGUACACAAAAAUGCACAUGCUGUGAGCUCGAUGAGUAGGGCGGGACACGUGGUAUCCUGUCUGAAUAUGGGGGGACCAUCCUCCAAGGCUAAAUACUCCUGACUGACCGAUAGUGAACCAGUACCGUGAGGGAAAGGCGAAAAGAACCCCGGCGAGGGGAGUGAAAAAGAACCUGAAACCGUGUACGUACAAGCAGUGGGAGCACAGAGCAAUCUGUGUGACUGCGUACCUUUUGUAUAAUGGGUCAGCGACUUAUAUUCUGUAGCAAGGUUAACCGAAUAGGGGAGCCGAAGGGAAACCGAGUCUUAACUGGGCGUUAAGUUGCAGGGUAUAGACCCGAAACCCGGUGAUCUAGCCAUGGGCAGGUUGAAGGUUGGGUAACACUAACUGGAGGACCGAACCGACUAAUGUUGAAAAAUUAGCGGAUGACUUGUGGCUGGGGGUGAAAGGCCAAUCAAACCGGGAGAUAGCUGGUUCUCCCCGAAAGCUAUUUAGGUAGCGCCUCGUGAAUUCAUCUCCGGGGGUAGAGCACUGUUUCGGCAAGGGGGUCAUCCCGACUUACCAACCCGAUGCAAACUGCGAAUACCGGAGAAUGUUAUCACGGGAGACACACGGCGGGUGCUAACGUCCGUCGUGAAGAGGGAAACAACCCAGACCGCCAGCUAAGGUCCCAAAGUCAUGGUUAAGUGGGAAACGAUGUGGGAAGGCCCAGACAGCCAGGAUGUUGGCUUAGAAGCAGCCAUCAUUUAAAGAAAGCGUAAUAGCUCACUGGUCGAGUCGGCCUGCGCGGAAGAUGUAACGGGGCUAAACCAUGCACCGAAGCUGCGGCAGCGACGCUGAUGCGUUGUUGGGUAGGGGAGCGUUCUGUAAGCCUGUGAAGGUGUACUGUGAGGUAUGCUGGAGGUAUCAGAAGUGCGAAUGCUGACAUAAGUAACGAUAAAGCGGGUGAAAAGCCCGCUCGCCGGAAGACCAAGGGUUCCUGUCCAACGUUAAUCGGGGCAGGGUGAGUCGACCCCUAAGGCGAGGCCGAAAGGCGUAGUCGAUGGGAAACAGGUUAAUAUUCCUGUACUUGGUGUUACUGCGAAGGGGGGACGGAGAAGGCUAUGUUGGCCGGGCGACGGUUGUCCCGGUUUAAGCGUGUAGGCUGGUUUUCCAGGCAAAUCCGGAAAAUCAAGGCUGAGGCGUGAUGACGAGGCACUACGGUGCUGAAGCAACAAAUGCCCUGCUUCCAGGAAAAGCCUCUAAGCAUCAGGUAACAUCAAAUCGUACCCCAAACCGACACAGGUGGUCAGGUAGAGAAUACCAAGGCGCUUGAGAGAACUCGGGUGAAGGAACUAGGCAAAAUGGUGCCGUAACUUCGGGAGAAGGCACGCUGAUAUGUAGGUGAAGUCCCUCGCGGAUGGAGCUGAAAUCAGUCGAAGAUACCAGCUGGCUGCAACUGUUUAUUAAAAACACAGCACUGUGCAAACACGAAAGUGGACGUAUACGGUGUGACGCCUGCCCGGUGCCGGAAGGUUAAUUGAUGGGGUCAGCGCAAGCGAAGCUCUUGAUCGAAGCCCCGGUAAACGGCGGCCGUAACUAUAACGGUCCUAAGGUAGCGAAAUUCCUUGUCGGGUAAGUUCCGACCUGCACGAAUGGCGUAAUGAUGGCCAGGCUGUCUCCACCCGAGACUCAGUGAAAUUGAACUCGCUGUGAAGAUGCAGUGUACCCGCGGCAAGACGGAAAGACCCCGUGAACCUUUACUAUAGCUUGACACUGAACAUUGAGCCUUGAUGUGUAGGAUAGGUGGGAGGCUUUGAAGUGUGGACGCCAGUCUGCAUGGAGCCGACCUUGAAAUACCACCCUUUAAUGUUUGAUGUUCUAACGUUGACCCGUAAUCCGGGUUGCGGACAGUGUCUGGUGGGUAGUUUGACUGGGGCGGUCUCCUCCUAAAGAGUAACGGAGGAGCACGAAGGUUGGCUAAUCCUGGUCGGACAUCAGGAGGUUAGUGCAAUGGCAUAAGCCAGCUUGACUGCGAGCGUGACGGCGCGAGCAGGUGCGAAAGCAGGUCAUAGUGAUCCGGUGGUUCUGAAUGGAAGGGCCAUCGCUCAACGGAUAAAAGGUACUCCGGGGAUAACAGGCUGAUACCGCCCAAGAGUUCAUAUCGACGGCGGUGUUUGGCACCUCGAUGUCGGCUCAUCACAUCCUGGGGCUGAAGUAGGUCCCAAGGGUAUGGCUGUUCGCCAUUUAAAGUGGUACGCGAGCUGGGUUUAGAACGUCGUGAGACAGUUCGGUCCCUAUCUGCCGUGGGCGCUGGAGAACUGAGGGGGGCUGCUCCUAGUACGAGAGGACCGGAGUGGACGCAUCACUGGUGUUCGGGUUGUCAUGCCAAUGGCACUGCCCGGUAGCUAAAUGCGGAAGAGAUAAGUGCUGAAAGCAUCUAAGCACGAAACUUGCCCCGAGAUGAGUUCUCCCUGACUCCUUGAGAGUCCUGAAGGAACGUUGAAGACGACGACGUUGAUAGGCCGGGUGUGUAAGCGCAGCGAUGCGUUGAGCUAACCGGUACUAAUGAACCGUGAGGCUUAACCUUACAACGCCGAAGGUGUUU